Molecule: ribosomal RNA, 509 nt
Filed under: uncultured bacterium
Lineage: Bacteria
Description: partial 16S ribosomal RNA
Rfam family: Bacterial small subunit ribosomal RNA
Source: RNAcentral
ACGAACGCUGGCGGCGUGCUUAACACCUGCAAGUCGAACGAAGAGCGAUGGAAGCUUGCUUCUAUCAAUCUUAGUGGCGAACGGGUGAGUAACGCGUAAUCAACCUGCCCUUCAGAGGGGGACAACAGUUGGAAACGACUGCUAAUACCGCAUACGAUCUAAUCUCGGCAUCGAGGAUAGAUGAAAGGUGGCCUCUACAUGUAAGCUAUCACUGAAGGAGGGGAUUGCGUCUGAUUAGCUAGUUGGAGGGGUAACGGCCCACCAAGGCGAUGAUCAGUAGCCGGUCUGAGAGGAUGAACGGCCACAUUGGGACUGAGACACGGCCCAGACUCCUACGGGAGGCAGCAGUGGGGAAUCUUCCGCAAUGGACGAAAGUCUGACGGAGCAACGCCGCGUGAGUGAGGACGGCCUUCGGGUUGUAAAGCUCUGUUAAUCGGGACGAAAGGCCUUCUUGCGAAUAGUGAGAAGGAUUGACGGUACCGGAAUAGAAAGCCACGGCUAACUACGUG